RNAcentral lists this long non-coding RNA (262 nucleotides) under Brassica napus (rape). RNAcentral describes it as "long non-coding RNA (BNAP_LNC003296)". The record is from RNAcentral. Lineage: Eukaryota; Viridiplantae; Streptophyta; Magnoliopsida; Brassicales; Brassicaceae.
AACACGCCGCCUAACUCACUGCUAGGAAGACUUUCGACACAACCUCUUGUUCAACUUAUUGAAACUGCCCUUGGCUUCCUUUUCAGAAUUGACCAUCUGAACCCUUUGUCGAUUUUCCAGACUUGACCAUCUGAACUUCUUGCUUCUGCGAGGUGAUAACCGACAAACCAUCUCGCGCUUCCCCUGUCUCAACUCAGUUGGUGACAUUGAGUGUCACCAGGCACCUCUCAAAGCUGUUGCCUGGUAAACUCUUUGUCAACAU